CCGGAUUUUGGGGGACGCUGUUGGGGUCUCUGCAGGUGGAGCCGCAGGCGACCAUCGCUGAGAUCAAGAAUCUGUUCACCAAAACACACCCACAGUGGUACCCAGCCCGGCAGUCACUGCGCCUGGACCCCAAGGGCCGCUCUCUGAAGGACGAGGACGUUCUGCAGUCUCUGCCCGUGGGCACCACUGCCACCUUCUACUUCCGGGACCUGGGGGCGCAGAUCAGCUGGGUGACGGUGUUCCUGACGGAGUACGCCGGCCCUCUGCUCAUCUACCUGCUCUUCUACUUCCGUGUCCCCUUCCUCUACGGCCCCCGCUAUGACUUCACCGCCAGCCGGCACGCCGUCGUGCAGUGCGUGAGGGGGUGCUGGGGGGUCCU
Long non-coding RNA from Lagopus leucura (white-tailed ptarmigan), 379 nucleotides. RefSeq lists it as uncharacterized. The record is from RefSeq and is a predicted model, not a curated record. The transcript has 4 exons. NCBI's taxonomy places the organism in Eukaryota, Metazoa, Chordata, Aves, Galliformes, Phasianidae.